This 164-nucleotide unclassified non-coding RNA is filed under the name uncultured Cortinarius. Its description in RNAcentral is "sequence contains ITS1". Lineage: Eukaryota; Fungi; Basidiomycota; Agaricomycetes; Agaricales; Cortinariaceae. The record is from RNAcentral.
UUGAAAUAAACCUGAUGGGUUGUUGCUGGUUCUCUAGGGAGCAUGUGCACGCCUUGUCAUCUUUAUAUCUCCACCUGUGCACCUUUUGUAGACCUUCCAAGGUCUAUGUUGCUUCAUUUACCCCAAUGUAUGUUAAUAGAAUGUUGUGAUUAUAAAAAUAUAUA